GUUGCGAAAUGUUGUAAAAUGUGGAUAAUAUAGCCUUGCAAAGUUUGCCGUUUUUCAGUCAUUUUGUAUUACAAACGGGAAAUUGACAGACCCAAAGGGUAUUGGUCUGUCAAUUUCCCUUGCGCAUGCGUAAUGAAAAAAAACUGAAAAACGACAAACUUCGCAAGGCUAUAUUUGCCGCCCUUUUACAACAUUUCGCAAC
Molecule: non-coding RNA, 202 nt
Organism: Paramuricea clavata
Lineage: Eukaryota; Metazoa; Cnidaria; Anthozoa; Malacalcyonacea; Plexauridae
Source: the annotation of a GenBank genome assembly